RNAcentral lists this ribosomal RNA (497 nucleotides) under uncultured bacterium. Its description in RNAcentral is "partial 16S ribosomal RNA". It matches the Rfam family "Bacterial small subunit ribosomal RNA", at positions 28 to 507 of the family's 1533-position model. The record is from RNAcentral.
GAUGAACGCUGGCGGCGUGCCUAAUACAUGCAAGUCGAGCGAACAGACGAGGAGCUUGCUCCUCUGACGUUAGCGGCGGACGGGUGAGUAACACGUGGAUAACCUACCUAUAAGACUGGGAUAACUUCGGGAAACCGGAGCUAAUACCGGAUAAUAUAUUGAACCGCAUGGUUCAAUAGUGAAAGACGGUUUUGCUGUCACUUAUAGAUGGAUCCGCGCCGCAUUAGCUAGUUGGUAAGGUAACGGCUUACCAAGGCGACGAUGCGUAGCCGACCUGAGAGGGUGGUCGGCCACCCUGGAACUGAGACACGGUCAAGACUCCUACGGGAGGCAGCAGUAGGGAAUCUUCCGCAAUGGGCGAAAGCCUGACGGAGCAACGCCGCGUGAGUGAUGAAGGUCUUCGGAUCGUAAAACUCUGUUAUUAGGGAAGAACAAAUGUGUAAGUAACUAUGCACGUCUUGACGGUACCUAAUCAGAAAGCCACGGCUAACUACGUG